GACGAACGCUGGCGGCGUGCUUAACACAUGCAAGUCGAACGGUAAGGCCCCUUCGGGGGUACACGAGUGGCGAACGGGUGAGUAACACGUGGGUAAUCUGCCCUGCACUUCGGGAUAAGCCUGGGAAACUGGGUCUAAUACCGGAUAUGAACUCCUGCCGCAUGGUGGGGGUUGGAAAGUUUUUCGGUGCAGGAUGAGCCCGCGGCCUAUCAGCUUGUUGGUGGGGUAAUGGCCUACCAAGGCGACGACGGGUAGCCGGCCUGAGAGGGUGAUCGGCCACACUGGGACUGAGACACGGCCCAGACUCCUACGGGAGGCAGCAGUGGGGAAUAUUGCACAAUGGGCGAAAGCCUGAUGCAGCGACGCCGCGUGGGGGAUGACGGUCUUCGGAUUGUAAACCCCUUUCAGUAGGGACGAAGCGCAAGUGACGGUACCUGCAGAAGAAGCACCGGCUAACUACGUGCCAGCAGCCGCGGUAAUACGUAGGGUGCGAGCGUUGUCCGGAAUUACUGGGCGUAAAGAGCUCGUAGGCGGUUUGUCACGUCGUCUGUGAAAUCCCUCGGCUUAACCGGGGGCGUGCAGGCGAUACGGGCAGACUUGAGUACUACAGGGGAGACUGGAAUUCCUGGUGUAGCGGUGAAAUGCGCAGAUAUCAGGAGGAACACCGGUGGCGAAGGCGGGUCUCUGGGUAGUAACUGACGCUGAGGAGCGAAAGCAUGGGUAGCGAACAGGAUUAGAUACCCUGGUAGUCCAUGCCGUAAACGGUGGGCGCUAGGUGUGGGGUCCUUCCACGGACUCCGUGCCGUAGCUAACGCAUUAAGCGCCCCGCCUGGGGAGUACGGCCGCAAGGCUAAAACUCAAAGGAAUUGACGGGGGCCCGCACAAGCGGCGGAGCAUGUGGAUUAAUUCGAUGCAACGCGAAGAACCUUACCUAGGCUUGACAUAUACAGGACGACGGCAGAGAUGUCGUUUCCCUUGUGGCUUGUAUACAGGUGGUGCAUGGUUGUCGUCAGCUCGUGUCGUGAGAUGUUGGGUUAAAUCCCGCAACGAGCGCAACCCCUGUCUCAUGUUGCCAGCACGUAAUGGUGGGGACUCGUGAGAGACUGCCGGGGUCAACUCGGAGGAAGGUGGGGAUGACGUCAAAUCAUCAUGCCCCUUAUGUCUAGGGCUUCACACAUGCUACAAUGGCUAGUACAGAGGGCUGCGAUACCGCGAGGUGGAGCGAAUCCCUUAAAGCUGGUCUCAGUUCGGAUUGGGGUCUGCAACUCGACCCCAUGAAGUCGGAGUCGCUAGUAAUCGCAGAUCAGCAACGCUGCGGUGAAUACGUUCCCGGGCCU
RNAcentral lists this ribosomal RNA (1337 nucleotides) under uncultured bacterium. RNAcentral's name for it is "bacterial SSU rRNA". It matches the Rfam family "Bacterial small subunit ribosomal RNA", at positions 28 to 1381 of the family's 1533-position model. The record is from RNAcentral.